AAUGAACGCUGGCGGCAGGCCUAACACAUGCAAGUCGAACGGAUCCUUCGGGAUUAGUGGCGGACGGGUGAGUAACGCGUGGGAACGUACCCUUUCUUCGGAAUAGCCUCGGGAAACUGGGAGUAAUACCGGAUAAGCCCUAUUGGGGAAAGAUUUAUCGGGAAGGGAUCGGCCCGCGUUGGAUUAGGUAGUUGGUGGGGUAAUGGCCUACCAAGCCGACGAUCCAUAGCUGGUUUGAGAGGAUGAUCAGCCACACUGGGACUGAGACACGGCCCAGACUCCUACGGGAGGCAGCAGUGGGGAAUCUUAGACAAUGGGGGAAACCCUGAUCUAGCCAUGCCGCGUGAUCGAUGAAGGCCUUAGGGUUGUAAAGAUCUUUCAGUGGGAAGAUAAUGACGGUACCACAGAAGAAGCCCCGGCUAAAC
RNAcentral lists this ribosomal RNA (425 nucleotides) under uncultured bacterium. Its description in RNAcentral is "bacterial SSU rRNA". It matches the Rfam family "Bacterial small subunit ribosomal RNA", at positions 29 to 502 of the family's 1533-position model. The record is from RNAcentral.